UGCAUUCUGGAUGUGUCGGCCAAUGCAGUGCGAAGGUUACAAGCAGCUCACCUUCACCCUGUCGCCAUUUUCAUCAGGCCCAAGUCUCUGGAGAACAUCAUGGAGAUUAACAAACGACUGACAGAGGAACAGGCUCGCAAAGCCUAUGAGAGGGCUGUGAAGUUGGAACAAGAGUUUACAGAGUGUUUCUCAGCGAUUGUGGAAGGGGAUAGCUUCGAGGAGAUCUACAUUCGAACAAAGCACGUCAUUGAGGACCACUCUGGGCCCUACAUCUGGGUCCCUUCUCGGGAGAGACUCUAAGGAUAACCACCACCCCCCACCCACCCUCCAAAUCCUCAUCAUUCCAACCCUGCCCCACCUCCCCUUAAAAACAGCCGACUGAUCUCAUCCGUGCUACCUGCUCCUUCCUGAGCUUCUACAGCUGCUAUUGUCUCUUGCAGGACCUGACUGUUCCCGCUCCUCCUUGAUACAAACCCACACACACACACACACACACACACACAGUUUUCCUUCUUUCAAUCGCUUGGUUACGGGAUGGGCAAAGGAACUAAAACAAAAGAAAAAUUUUUUUUUAAAAAAAAAGAAAAAGGUGA
This is a long non-coding RNA of Rhincodon typus (whale shark), 593 nucleotides long. RefSeq lists it as uncharacterized. The transcript is spliced from 3 exons. The record is from RefSeq and is a predicted model, not a curated record. Lineage: Eukaryota; Metazoa; Chordata; Chondrichthyes; Orectolobiformes; Rhincodontidae.